AUCUAAAUUUCUGUAAUUUUAGAUAGUAUAGGUAGUAUAGGGGCGGAGGUACCCAAUGGGCUCAGGGCAGGGAAUUUUUAAAUCCCCCA
RNAcentral lists this transfer RNA (89 nucleotides) under Blanchetiodendron blanchetii. RNAcentral describes it as "partial tRNA-His". Lineage: Eukaryota; Viridiplantae; Streptophyta; Magnoliopsida; Fabales; Fabaceae. The record is from RNAcentral.